This 191-nucleotide unclassified non-coding RNA is filed under the name plant metagenome. Its description in RNAcentral is "partial contains small subunit ribosomal RNA, internal transcribed spacer 1, and 5.8S ribosomal RNA". The record is from RNAcentral.
UUUCCGUAGGUGAACCUGCGGAAGGAUCAUUACCGAGCUCCUGCCCCCCGGGUAGAGAUGCCACCCUUGCGUACCAGACCGUAGUUGCUUUGGCGGGCUGUUGCCCGCCAGAGGUCCCAAACCCUAAGCGUAUGUGCCGUCAGAGUACUAUCUAAUAGUUAAAACUUUCAACAACGGAUCUCUUGGUUCUG